This 506-nucleotide ribosomal RNA is filed under the name uncultured bacterium. RNAcentral's name for it is "partial 16S ribosomal RNA". It matches the Rfam family "Bacterial small subunit ribosomal RNA", at positions 29 to 523 of the family's 1533-position model. The record is from RNAcentral.
AGUGAACGCUGGCGGUAGGCCUAACACAUGCAAGUCGAACGGCAGCACAGAGGAGCUUGCUCCUUGGGUGGCGAGUGGCGGACGGGUGAGGAAUACAUCGGAAUCUACUCUGUCGUGGGGGAUAACGUAGGGAAACUUACGCUAAUACCGCAUACGACCUACGGGUGAAAGCAGGGGAUCUUCGGACCUUGCGCGAGUGAAUGAGCCGAUGUCGGAUUAGCUAGUUGGCGGGGUAAAGGCCCACCAAGGGGACGAUCCGUAGCUGGUCUGAGAGGAUGAUCAGCCACACUGGAACUGAGACACGGUCCAGACUCCUACGGGAGGCAGCAGUGGGGAAUAUUGGACAAUGAGCGCAAGCCUGAUCCAGCCAUACCGCGUGGGUGAAGAAGGCCUUCGGGUUGUAAAGCCCUUUUGUUGGGAAAGAAAUCCAUCUGGUUAAUACCCGGGUGGGAUGACGGUACCCAAAGAAUAAGCACCGGCUAANUUNGUGCCAGCCGCCGCCGUAA